RNAcentral lists this ribosomal RNA (428 nucleotides) under uncultured bacterium. Its description in RNAcentral is "partial 16S ribosomal RNA". It matches the Rfam family "Bacterial small subunit ribosomal RNA", at positions 354 to 796 of the family's 1533-position model. The record is from RNAcentral.
GUGGGGAAUAUUGGGCAAUGGGCGCAAGCCUGACCCAGCAACGCCGCGUGAGGGAAGAAGGUCUUCGGAUUGUAAACCUCUGUCCUUGGGGACGAAAAAAAUGACGGUACCCAAGGAGGAAGCUCCGGCUAACUACGUGCCAGCAGCCGCGGUAAUACGUAGGGAGCGAGCGUUGUCCGGAAUUACUGGGCGUAAAGGGUGCGUAGGCGGCUAGGCAAGUCAGAUGUGAAAUCCCCGGGCUUAACUCGGGUGGUGCAUUUGAAACUGCUUGGCUUGAGUGCAGGAGAGGAAAGCGGAAUUCCUAGUGUAGCGGUGAAAUGCGUAGAUAUUAGGAGGAACACCAGUGGCGAAGGCGGCUUUCUGGACUGUAACUGACGCUGAGGCACGAAAGCGUGGGGAGCAAACAGGAUUAGAAACCCGAGUAGUCC